RNAcentral lists this ribosomal RNA (433 nucleotides) under uncultured bacterium. RNAcentral describes it as "bacterial SSU rRNA". It matches the Rfam family "Bacterial small subunit ribosomal RNA", at positions 87 to 518 of the family's 1533-position model. The record is from RNAcentral.
GCCGGCGACCGGCGCAAGGGUGCGUAACGCGUGAGCAACAUGCCCGUAUCAGGGGGAUAAUCCAUGGAAACGUGGUCUAAUACCCCAUAGUAAUUAUGUAAGGCAUCUUAUAUAAUUUAAAGCUUUGGUGGAUACGGAUUGGCUCGCGUGACAUUAGCUAGAUGGUAAGGUAACGGCUUACCAUGGCUACGAUGUCUAGGGGUUCUGAGAGGAAGGUCCCCCACACUGGAACUGAGACACGGUCCAGACUCCUACGGGAGGCAGCAGUGAGGAAUAUUGGACAAUGGAUGGAAAUCUGAUCCAGCCAUGCCGCGUGCAGGAAGACGGCCCUAUGGGUUGUAAACUGCUUUUGUAUGGGAGCAAUAAGGGCUACGUGUAGUCCGAUGAGAGUACCAUACGAAUAAGCACCGGCUAACUCCGUGCCAGCCGCCGC